GGCAGGUUAUAUAAAAAAAGUGACAAGAUUAAAAGGACCAACGUGAUGAAAUGUCCCUCGUUUCCUGCGGCUGUUAGUGUUAUUGUCUUGAAGUGCCUCAGACGCAGCUACAGGAAGUCAUUAUAGACUGUGUAUAAAAUCUCACGCAACAUGUUUACAGUAAACGAUCAGAUGAAAGUAACAGAUAAGGCCUUUUUUUUAAUUUUUUUUUAUCACUUCCUGCAAUGAUAUGGUGACAUCGUAAAACCUCACUUUCAUCACUCUGUUGAGAACUUCAUUGAUUCCCCAUGAUUUCCACUGAAGGAAUAUAAACCAGAAAGCAGAGAUACCUGUAUCUGAAUGACGACCCCCUACUAAAGAGAAUGGCUUUGGACUUGGGCUGCGGCUGAUCCAAGAGGCGGAAGAACGAGUGAUGUUCCACACAAUUCUUCCAGAAGAUCUUGCACUGGUCCCGACUGACCAUCUGAAACUC
This is a long non-coding RNA of Oncorhynchus kisutch (coho salmon), 472 nucleotides long. RefSeq lists it as uncharacterized. Lineage: Eukaryota; Metazoa; Chordata; Actinopteri; Salmoniformes; Salmonidae. The transcript has 2 exons. The record is from RefSeq and is a predicted model, not a curated record.